CACCAGAUCACGUUUCUACUGGUUGAAAACUGCUCCUAGGGGGUUUCCUUGUUUUAGUCCCGAAAGUUCUGUUUCCUGGGAAACCCCUUAGUCCCAGGCAACCCAGGACAGUUGGUCACCCAGGCACCAGGGCACAACUGAAUCAAGAAACAAUGACAUGCUAAAAUCUCAUGACAUGUUAUGAGAUUGUAUACUGGGUCCAAAAUACCAACAGCUGAGAUGCAAGAUGGAGAUACGGCUUAGCAUCCCUCGUGGAAAAUAAAUCAGGGGCUUUAGCUUAUUUUGAGCUCAAUUGGCGUCAACAGUGUGAUUGGCCCUCCAAAAAGCGAAUACAUCAGAGGCAUUAAUGAAAGCAUUGUUACAGGAACAAAAUUCACAACAGUAGACAAAAGCUAGGACCAUCAGAUGAUCUGUUGUCAAAAUCUGGGAGGACUUCGCACUGAUUUGAGAGGAUAAAGUGGAAUUAGACAAAAAUAAGUUCUCAGGAUGCCAAAGGCAAAGGCAAAGAGAUGGUACUAGUUGUCACAGACAGGUGAAAGGACAAAGGGCACAGGAGUCUGAUUUUACUUAUAAAUUCCUCAAUUUAUUAAGAAAAGAUCUUCUCAUGGUGAAUGUCUGAGACCUACCAGUAGCGUCUGUGUUGCUAUGGUGAUGCAGCUGGUCUGCCAGAGGGAGCGGGGCUACUCUCUACAGUUGUCUACUGAAGGGGUUCCUGGGACAUAGGGAGACACAGGCCUUUUAGUGUUUUGUUAUUUUCUGGUAUGACUUUUCCAGAUGUCAUGGCUUUGGGAAGUGGAUCUCAAAUUUGAAUCUGACCGAUACACUGAGAUAUGGAGAAGAAGGAAACCUGGAACUGAGGCCACGUCAGACAAGCAUUGUUCCCUGGAGGCAUUGCAGGGGCCCUGCCUCUGAAGCCAAUGAUGGCGCGUUGCUGAGUCUCUGUUCUGACACGGAUGUGUGCUCUGAGAGUCAGGGCGAGUCCCUGGGCUGAACCGCUUAUGGGCCACUCAAGGAAGAGGGAGAUGGGCAGACUCCUGCUCAUCCUUCAGUCCUUGGCUCACGCAUCACUCCAAGAGGAAGCCUUCUGCACUCUUCUCCAGCAGAGUUGGUGACCCGGCACUGCGUCAUUUUGUCAGGCCUUGCCCUGUGCUCUGUCCCUGCCCUGGCCACGUGUGGGUCAAAUGCAUCGUUCCGUAUCUGUCUCCCCACCAGCCUCGGAACAACUGUCUCCCCCAUCUCUGCAGCCCUAGAAAGCUGCACAAAGUCUGAAUACAGAAAUGUCUGGAAGAAAUGCGUAUACCCUCCCAUGUAGGGCAGUUUGCUGUAAAUGUCCCUUGAGUGGUUAUGGCUCAAGGAGUCCAGAGAAAACUAAAUCCUCAUGGACUUAGGGGGUCAAGGAGGGCGUCCAGGCAGAGGUAGGCC
This 1422-nucleotide long non-coding RNA is filed under the name Equus caballus (horse). Its description in RNAcentral is "lncRNA (ENSECAG00000041039.2)". Lineage: Eukaryota; Metazoa; Chordata; Mammalia; Perissodactyla; Equidae. The record is from RNAcentral.